This 429-nucleotide ribosomal RNA is filed under the name Gemmatimonadota bacterium. RNAcentral's name for it is "Gemmatimonadetes bacterium partial 16S ribosomal RNA". It matches the Rfam family "Bacterial small subunit ribosomal RNA", at positions 355 to 776 of the family's 1533-position model. The record is from RNAcentral. Lineage: Bacteria; Pseudomonadati; Gemmatimonadota.
UAGGGAAUCUUCGGCAAUGGACGAAAGUCUGACCGAGCAACGCCGCGUGAGUGAAGAAGGUUUUCGGAUCGUAAAACUCUGUUGUUAGAGAAGAACAAGGACGUUAGUAACUGAACGUCCCCUGACGGUAUCUAACCAGAAAGCCACGGCUAACUACGUGCCAGCAGCCGCGGUAAUACGUAGGUGGCAAGCGUUGUCCGGAUUUAUUGGGCGUAAAGCGAGCGCAGGCGGUUUCUUAAGUCUGAUGUGAAAGCCCCCGGCUCAACCGGGGAGGGUCAUUGGAAACUGGGAGACUUGAGUGCAGAAGAGGAGAGUGGAAUUCCAUGUGUAGCGGUGAAAUGCGUAGUUAUAUGGAGGAACACCAGUGGAGAAGGCGGCUCUCUGGUCUGUAACUGACGCUGAGGCUCGAAAGCGUGGGGAGCAAACAGG